Epinephelus lanceolatus (giant grouper) is the source of this 405-nucleotide long non-coding RNA. RefSeq lists it as uncharacterized. The record is from RefSeq and is a predicted model, not a curated record. Lineage: Eukaryota; Metazoa; Chordata; Actinopteri; Perciformes; Serranidae.
CAUGCAAGACCUUUCAGCAUUUGUUUGCGGACUACUUCCUCAUCACUUCCCCUGCCUGCCCCUGAUUCUCCUGUUUCAUCUGCUCCCCGGUAAACCACUCCAACUUCUGUCCUCCUCAAGAGCUCUGCUUCUGCCUUCCUGGCUCCUGUUCACCUGUGUUCUGUGGCGAGAGACAGCUCUCCAAAAUUCCACUCAUCAUUGCUGGUGACAAACUCUGCUGCCCCAUCCAUGGCUGGCUUCGCAUCGGUGAGACUGUUCCUCCUCAAGUGCCAGCUCCUCACUUGUUUUCCGCUCUGGCGUACCAUGCCGAGGUCUGUGGACUGCCUCCGAAUCCCUGAAAGCUCUGAACAUGAACAUUGACUCUCUCAGCAGCUUUACCACCCUGUUCUCCCUGUAUUUGUUUAA